RNAcentral lists this long non-coding RNA (224 nucleotides) under Pan troglodytes (chimpanzee). RNAcentral describes it as "long non-coding RNA NONPTRT016778". Lineage: Eukaryota; Metazoa; Chordata; Mammalia; Primates; Hominidae. The record is from RNAcentral.
GAGUUCAAUAAGUAGGAGCACCCCCUUGGUGCUCCCUGGCAGACAGAGACAAUGCCUCAACUAAUUGACAAAAACAGCCAUUUUCCCUAGGUCACAAAAAUGAUCCAUAUCUAUUUUCUCCAUGUUUUAUUUUCCACAUGCUGAUCAUGCAAUGAUCUAGGGGCAAGAGCAUUCUGGACAACAAAGUGCACCAAGCAUACACUAUGGAGAAAGGACAGUUUCUU